Non-coding RNA from Pelobates cultripes (western spadefoot toad), 246 nucleotides. The record is from the annotation of a GenBank genome assembly. Lineage: Eukaryota; Metazoa; Chordata; Amphibia; Anura; Pelobatidae.
CCAUAAUAAAACCAUUAUUUUUAAAAAGAGUUAUUUGCGCAUAAACCACUACAAAUGAUCAGAAAUACUUGAUAUGUACUGCGUUUGGAGAAAAAAAGAAAAAACAGCUGAAGCAUAGGAACGGAGAAGCCUUUCGUGUCACUUUAUAAGGUACACAAUCUUUCUAACAAGAUUUGGUCACACGUUUAUCCAGUUGUUUAGUAUUGAGCUGCACAAGUGGAUUGUGGGUAAAAACCUACACACAUG